Molecule: ribosomal RNA, 34 nt
Filed under: uncultured cyanobacterium
Lineage: Bacteria; Bacillati; Cyanobacteriota
Description: partial 23S ribosomal RNA
Source: RNAcentral
GGUCAAGCUACAAAGGGCUCACGGCGGAUACCUU